This 537-nucleotide long non-coding RNA is filed under the name Notechis scutatus (mainland tiger snake). RNAcentral describes it as "lncRNA (ENSNSUG00000000268.1)". The record is from RNAcentral. Lineage: Eukaryota; Metazoa; Chordata; Lepidosauria; Squamata; Elapidae.
CACCGUUGCACUUCCUCUUCUAUUUCUUUCAGAUGGUACAAAGUUACAAAAAACUGAGAUCCCAAAAAACAGCAUCAGCUGGUCCAGGACAAACUAGUACUUCAUCCACAGAAGAUAAAAGCUUCUCCUAGUCAGCAUGGCUUUGAUUUGGAUGAACUUUUAAGCUCUACUCCAGAACUCAAAUCUGACCCCCAAAUGCAAAACAGCCCCUUGAAUACCACCCUCGAGCGCAACACGGUCUCCCUUUUCGCUGAAGUUUCAGGCCUCAGCCCAGACCUCCUCACAGAUAUGGAUGAUGGUGCUGAUUUGCAGGGUAAAUAUAAUGUUUCUUUCUGCAUUUUUCCCUGCUGGGAUUUAGAAUUCAGGAAUCCUAGCUUGAUUGUCAUUCCCCAAAAAAACCCUUGUUAUUUCCUUUCCACGGGACAUUCUGAUUUGGAUGCAUAAAGAGCAGAUGUCAGCUGAUGUCCAUGUCUACUGUUUUUUGUAGGGGAUACCUUAGAAACCUUGAUAGCAGAAAACACUCAGCUUCAAGAAGCA